Molecule: small RNA, 120 nt
Filed under: Klebsiella quasipneumoniae
Lineage: Bacteria; Pseudomonadati; Pseudomonadota; Gammaproteobacteria; Enterobacterales; Enterobacteriaceae
Also listed under: 2 other names
Description: RtT sRNA
Rfam family: RtT RNA
About the family: This family represents a bacterial cis-regulatory element known as RtT RNA. The exact function of RtT is unknown although it is thought that it may be involved in changing the cellular response in relation to amino acid starvation.
Source: RNAcentral
UAUUCUCCCCUACGGGGGAGGAUGAGAAGUUUCGACCAAGGUUCGACUCGAGCCGUUGCCGCAGGCAACGGCCCGAAGGGCGAGGCGCGUUAGCGCCGAGUUAUCCUUCCCCCACCAUUC